This 492-nucleotide ribosomal RNA is filed under the name uncultured bacterium. Its description in RNAcentral is "partial 16S ribosomal RNA". It matches the Rfam family "Bacterial small subunit ribosomal RNA", at positions 29 to 507 of the family's 1533-position model. The record is from RNAcentral.
AGUGAACGCUGGCGGCAGGCCUAACACAUGCAAGUCGAACGGCAGCACAGUAAGAGCUUGCUCUUACGGGUGGCGAGUGGCGGACGGGUGAGGAAUACAUCGGAAUCUACUUUUUCGUGGGGGAUAACGUAGGGAAACUUACGCUAAUACCGCAUACGACCUACGGGUGAAAGCAGGGGAUCUUCGGACCUUGCGCGAUUGAAUGAGCCGAUGUCGGAUUAGCUAGUUGGCGGGGUAAAGGCCCACCAAGGCGACGAUCCGGAGCUGGUGUGAGAGGAUGAUCAGCCACAUGGGAGCUGAGCCGCGGUCCAUGCGCCUACGGGAGGCAGCAGUGUGGAAUAUUGGACAAUGGUCGCAAGCCUGAUCCAGCCAUACCACGUGGGUUGAGACGACCUUCCGGUUGUAAAGCCCUUUUGUUGGGAAAGAAAAGCAGCAGGUUAAUACCCCGCUGUACUGACGGUACCCAAUGAAUAAGCGCCGGCUAACUUCGUG